Molecule: long non-coding RNA, 1356 nt
Organism: Bos taurus (domestic cattle)
Lineage: Eukaryota; Metazoa; Chordata; Mammalia; Artiodactyla; Bovidae
Source: Ensembl
GCCUUGGGGUUAUUGACAAACAAGAGGACCAGACAUUCCAAAGCUUGACUUUAGGACUGACUGGUGCUUGUGUUUUAAAGCCUGCCGAAAGAAUUAACAUUCGACAGCUGUCUAUAGAUCUCCAUGCAGUUUGUUCAGUGGCUUGAACAAUGCAGUGAGUAUUCCAACCCUGAAGAACUGGGAAAGGAGAGAGAUGAAGAAAUCCAGGAGGGAGCCAGUUCUCUCUUCUUGAACGAUGGAGAAGGAAAUGGCAACCCACUCCGGUAUUCUUGCCUGGAGAGGCCUACGGAUAGAGGAGCCUGGUGGGCUGCUGUCCAUAGGGUCACACAGAGUCGGGCAUGACUGAGCAACUUCACUUUCACUUUUCACUCUCAUGCAUUGGAGAGGAAAUGGCAACCCACUCCAGUGUUCUUGCCUGGAGAAUCCCAGCCUGGUGAGCUGCUGUCUAUGGGAUCGCACAGAGUCGGACACAACUGAAGCGACUUAGGAGCAGCAGCAGCUUCUUGAAAGAUGCCCUUCAGUGCUUCAUUCCUGCUUCAACUAAGUUCUGCUGGUACUUCAGUUUCCACUUGCAAGGGCCUUUGGAAGCCUUUCCCGACCUCAAGAUUAAAGUCCUCCUCUCCCUGUACCCUAGCAGGGUAGUAGCUUGCUGUACAGCAACUGCUUGUUAACUUCUCGAUCUCCUCCAUCGCCUGAAAGCUCUUAGAGGACAGGAUUCAUGUACAGUGCAUUGUAUUCCCAGGAGUUAGGAGGGUCUAAUCCUUAUUAGCUACGUACAAAACAUCUGUUGAACAAACGGUUGCAAAUGAAUAGUAACUUAAAGAAAGGCUACAUUUCUGAGGUAAUGCUAAUUGCUUGUAGGAUAGUUAAAUGUCAGUAUUGAAACCUAAUCUUUAGCUGCUGUCUUGCAGAUAAAACGGAUGUUCACCAAGUAUGUAUUUUGUAUUUUGUUGCACUGUACACCCCAACUAGUAAGCCGAGGAAUCGACAUGUGUUAGAUAAUUGUACUGUUUCUAAAAACCACAAACUGAGAAUGAUAAAUAAUCAAUUCAGUUUAGUAUUUACUAAUUAAAAAAAAAAAGUAUUUACUAAUUUUACCACACUCUUUUGUUAUGUAAUGUAGGGGAGUCAUAGGGAUUAUGCAUUCUAUUUGAGUAAACUUUAAAACCAAAUAUUUUAUGGUAAAGAGCUUUUAAGGUAGCCAAAGCACUGAUAUGAUAUAUCUGCUGUAAAGAGAACUGCAAGAGUUUUAUUUAUAUUUCUGAUGUUAAAAGUUACUUAAUAAAGACUUGUUUCCAUUAAAAAAAAUAAAGACUAUAUCAUGUUCAGUACCAUAACUUUAAGAAAAUAGAAGUA